ACAAAGACCCUGUUAUCCCAAUCAUCAUCACGAGGACUAGCUGCGCCGCAGCUUAAAGGGACAUUUCAUAGCUUAAAAAAGACAAACUGUUGGUCCUGCCACCUCCGACUACAAAGGUGUCGCUACUGAUAAGCUUUUUUGGAUCUUGAAGAUGCCACAUCUCACGUGUGGAAAUUUCACUAAUGCGGCUGUAGCAAGUGACCAGACAGAUGGCCGCAUUUGAGUGGGAGCCUCUUUAGCAAGAGCUUUUUAAAAUCUAGCUCCACCCAGGAGCUCUUUAUCUUCUUCAGAACCCACGGAAUUACAGACGUCUGCACCAACCUCCGUGGGACCUCGGAGUCCAGGAGAACGAAUACGAAGGCGCUGAUGCUCAUGCUGCCUGCUGGCUGGGCCCAGGACUCGAGGCUCCCAGCCUAGAAACUCCAUCCUUAAGCUCAGGACCCAGGCCCCUGGCCUUACCGUCUCCAUUCUGGUGACACAGGUAAGGAAAACACCACACGCUGCCCAGCCCGACAGAGAAGGCAAUCUGGACGAAGAUGCUCUCAGUGUUUUUAGACCGAAUGAAGUGGUUUGGGGUCUUGGUGGCCCGGAUCUCCUUGCUCUUGAGCCUUCAGGACAGGGAGUUGGGGGUCUGGAAUUUCUUGGAAGACUCUUUCUCUGUCAGAUAAUUCCUCUAAAGGACUCCAUGGCUUUCUUCUUUCGGGCCUAGUAUAUCCUGAGGAAAUCUUGGGGUCACCAAGAGCAGAAUUUAAAGGACACGUCUCAGGUGCGAGACUCUG
This is a non-coding RNA of Macaca mulatta (Rhesus monkey), 779 nucleotides long. Lineage: Eukaryota; Metazoa; Chordata; Mammalia; Primates; Cercopithecidae. The record is from RefSeq and is a predicted model, not a curated record.